This is an RNA transcript of Lathyrus oleraceus (garden pea), 2872 nucleotides long. RefSeq lists it as uncharacterized. The transcript has 4 exons. Lineage: Eukaryota; Viridiplantae; Streptophyta; Magnoliopsida; Fabales; Fabaceae. The record is from RefSeq and is a predicted model, not a curated record.
UGGUUCCAUAACCUAGAAGACGAACAAGCACAGCGAAUACGACGAUGAAAGCACAAUGACAAUGAUAUGAGCAUUUGAAUCAAAACCCAGAAGACAAAAAUGAACCCUAACUUCACUAGGUAUGCUUUGAUUCAUUUUAUUAUUGAUGAUUCUGAUAUGGUUGUUGUUGACGACAACAAAUUUUAAUGUCAAACAUCAAUGGAAUGUCGGUCUCUUACGGUGCACCCUCAUCUUGGACAAAGGAAGAUCCAAAAUUUUGUUCAAGGCAAGCUAAGAUAAAUGUUGUAAAACUUAGAACUAAUCAAGGAGGGAGUUUAAUUUAUUAUCCUUGCAAGCUAUAUGUAGAUGGAGAGGUAGAUGAACUGAAUUGGAAAUGGGAAGUCGAUUUGAUGUCAUAUAUGGAGAUAUUCCGAGUGAUUAAGUCAUUGUGUUAUGCAAGAGUCAAAUGUAUGUGGUACCAUGAUAUGAAGUUUUCACUUGAGCGUGGAAUUAGAACUAUUAAUAAUGAUAAAGAUGUUCUAAAAUUUGGGGAAGAUAUGAAAGGUUAUGAUUAUAAUGAUAUCUAUGUUGAACAUAUUGUAUAUGAACCUAAUUUUGUAACAGAAAAUGAAGUAAGGGAGUUUGUUGAAGCUCAACAAGAAACAAUAAAUGUUGAAUUAGAUGAUGAAGUCCAUAUUGAGGAUAAGGAUGAAGACAAUGUUGAGGAGACGGAAGAAGUCCAACUUGAGUAGAGAGAAGAAGUUAAGAGUGAGUAAAGUGAGGAAGAUUACAACUUUGUUCAGGAUGAUAAUGAUGAUUUGGAUGAUAGUGAAUUCAAUGAGAUAGAUGAAGAUGAUUGGGAUUGGACACACAAAGUACCUAUCCAUACAUUCAUGUAAGGAGGCAAUGAUGCAAACAAUGUCUCUCAAACACAAGAACCAACAAAAGUAUCUAAUUUUGAGGAAGGCCAUGAUCUUGACUAGGAUGAACUGGAAACUCCACAACGAAGUGAAGAUGAAUGUGAUGGACAUAAAUAUCCCAAAUUUAAAAUGUCUGAUUAUGGUGAUGUAGUGAGGCUUGAGCUUGGAAUGACAUUUUCUACAAAGCAAUUUGUUAGAGAUGAUGUUAAGACAUAUGCAAUGGAGAGAAAAAAAAGCUCGCACUUCAAGAAAAAUGAUAGCAAAAGAAUAGUUAUCAGGUGUGGUAAUGAAUGCCCUUUUCAAAUGAAAUUUAGUAAAAGGGUAGCCAAUCAAUUAUGGCAAUUGGUGAGCUUGACUGAUGAUCAUACUUUUCAUAGGACUACCAAGAAUAGGCAGGCUAAAACUGAGUAGCUAGCUAAGAGGUUUAUAACGGUCCUUAGACAUACAUCUGAAAUGAGGCCAAAGAGAUUGAUAGCAAAGCCACUUGAGAAGUGAGGUGUGAUGCUCUCUUUUAGUCAAGUAUAUAUGGAAAAAAUAAGAGCAUUCUAACUAAUUCAAGGUGUUGAGAUUGAGUAGUACUCUAACUUGAGGAAAUAUGCUGAGGAACUUAGGAGAUCUAAUCCUAAUAGUACAAUGAUGAUUAAAUGUGGUGUGUUUGAUAUUGGAACUAUUUUUGAGAGAAUAUAUGAAUGUCUUGACCCGUGCAAAGAUGCAUUUGCAUAUACAUUCAGACCUUUAAUUGGUUUAGAUGCAUGUUUCUUGAAGGGUGAGUAUCACAGUCAGUUAAUGGCAACAAUAGGGAAAGAUGGAAACAAUCAAAUUUAUCCAAAUGCAUAUGUAUGGUUGAAACGGAGACAAGAGGCUCGUGGCAAUGGUUUUUAGAUCUAUUACUAUAGGAUCUGAAUGAUUUAUUGGAAAUGUCAUAUGGUUUCAUUUUAGACCAACAGAAGGGUUUGGUACCAACUAUUUCUAACCUUGGACCAAACGUAGAACACGGGCUAUGUGUUAGAUAUUAUUAUGGAAAUCGGAAAAAGAGGUAUCCGGCUGUACAAGUGAAAAAAUUACUUUGGUAGAUAGCCAAGGCAACAUUUGUUCAGGAAUGGGAAAGAGAUAUGCAAAAAAUAAAAGAUGUAAAUGAAGAUGCGUAGAAAGACAUGAUGGAUAUUCCACUGUCCAUGUGGGCUAGGUCUGCAUUCCACACAGACAAUCAUUGUGAUUUUCAAGUGAACAACAUGUACGAGGCAUUUAACAUGGCUAUAUUAGAGUACAGAGACAUACCCAUCAUUACUUUUCUUGAAGGUAAGAAGCAUUACAUAAAGUUUAGGAUAGUCAAACAAAAUAAUCCUGUGAGUUAUUUCAGAAACACAAUUUGUCCGAAGAUCGAACAAACUAUAUAGAGGUUGAAGUGGGCAGCUGGAGGUUGAGCACCAACUUGGAAUGGAGAUGAUGAAUUCAAGAUCUUUAGUGUCACAAAUGAAAAACAAGCUUCAUGGAAACAUAUUCCCAUAUUAUUCUCCUCUCCAAUGGUCCAAGACUUUGGUCAAUGACUCAAGGGGAACCAAUUAAACCACCUGUCAUGAGAUGAGCUUCGGGUAGAUUGAAGCAGAAGAGAAAUAAAGCUAAUGAUGAACCGAGGUCAACCAAUGUAUUACCAAGGAAUUUGACAACUGCAAAGUGUAAGAGAUGUGAGAAUUUUGGGCACAAUUCGAGAACUUGCAAAGGAAAAACAAUAGCGGACCAAAACUUGCCCAAAGGAAGUAACAAGGAAAAGAACAAAAGAAAGGAUCGACACAAGAACCAAACAUGUUGAAACAAGGAUCAAUAACAUUGUAAUGGAUUACAACUUUUAUGUGUGAUGAAUCCUUUUUUUGUAUAAUGAACCUACUGUGUAAUAUGGUAAUGGAUUACAACUUUUAUGUGUAACCUUAAUUUACAUCACUAUUAUUAAUGAAAUAUUAUGUUUGAUUACAACA